AUGAUCAUCUUGCAUUCUGAGUUAUUCCUUACAUUCUGUAUCCUAUGUCGGAAUUUUAUCAUUCUGACUAAAUCUUUGUCUUGUUUACCUAGGAUGGUCAACACACGCACUAACCCUGCUCCUCAAGAGCAGGCCGAAGGCAGUGAAGUCAGGAAUGCAAAUCUGCCUCAUCCUCCUUCCCUAGCCGAGGUUAUGAUGGAAGCCGAAAGAAACAAGCGGGAGACCAACCGUUUGUUGGAGCGUAUUGAACAGAACACAGCACACCAUCAGAGGACUAACGUGGUGUCACUCAGUGAUUUCAUCAAAUUACAUCCACCCACGUUCCACCACUCCGUCGAGCCUCUCGACGCUGAUGACUGGCUUCGUAGUAUCUCUCACAAGCUGCGUUCCGCGCUAGUAGCUGAGGCUGACAAGGUCACCUUUGCUGCAUAUCAUCUUGAAGGCCCCGCCAGUCUAUGGUGGGAGAAUUAUGGAGCUAUGCGCCCAGCGGGCCAUGUCACUACUUGGGCUGAAUUCAGCGAGGCUUUCCGUGAACAUCACAUUCCGGAGGGUCUCAUGGACCGUAAACGUGAGGAAUUUUGCAGUUUCACUCAGGGCCGACUCUCUGUGGAUGCUUACAGCAGGGAGUUCGGUAACCUCGCACGAUAUGCAACUGAGGAAGUUUCUACUGAUGCCAAGAAGCAAGCAAGGUUCCGUAAGGGACUUAGUCCUGAGCUUCGCCGCGACCUCCGUCUGCAUGAGUGCACAUCUUUUCAGAAGCUUGUUAACAAGGCCAUCAGUGCUGAGACUGGUCAGACUGAUUAUGACGCAACACGCAAGCAUGGCCGUGAUGUGGGUUCCUCAUCCGGUGCUGGUUCUCAGAAGCGCCGCGUGUGGGUGCCCAACACUGCCCUGCCACCCAGGUUCACACCGAGGCCAUCCUUCCAGGCGCCUCGCCCCGUUCAACAGUCUGCACCAGCCAAGCCCUAUGGGGGUCCAACCAACAGUGCUCCUCCACGCACCAGUUCCGUGACUUGUUUCAAGUGUGGGGAAUCUGGCCACUAUAUGCGUGAGUGUCCCCAGACCAACCCCAACCAAUCUGCUAAAGCUGUUGGCCGUGGCAAGCCGACGGGGAAAGUGUUCCACGCCAAGCCGGCCACCGCUACACGUGGCCAUGUCAACUGUAUCUCUGCCGAAGAAGCUCAAGAGGAUCCCAACGUCGUUCUCGGUACGCUCCUUGUUAAUUGCCACCCGACAUCUGUUCUUUUCGAUACAGGAGCCUCUCAUUCAUUUAUAUCCGAGAACUAUGCUCGUUUGCAUAACACCGCAUUCUGUGACAUGCCAUCCACUAUGGAAAUUUCUACUCCCGGUUCUAGAUGGCAGACCUCCAGGGUAAGUUAUGGAAAUGAAAUCCAAGUCGACAGACUUGUUUUCCUUGCAUCUUUGAUAGCUCUCAAAUUUUCAGAUAUUAAUAUCAUUUUGGGUAUGGACUGGAUGUCAGCUCAUCAUGCCAAAAUUGAUUGCUUCUCUAGGACUGUUCAACUCACUCAUCCUUCGGGGAAGAUAGUCAAUGUCUUGACCCGAAUAGCCAAGCGACAGUUAUAUUCUCUUAACGCCAACCCUUUGCCAGACCUUUAG
Molecule: ribosomal RNA, 1617 nt
Filed under: Triticum aestivum (bread wheat)
Lineage: Eukaryota; Viridiplantae; Streptophyta; Magnoliopsida; Poales; Poaceae
Description: partial small subunit ribosomal RNA
Source: RNAcentral